RNAcentral lists this long non-coding RNA (6115 nucleotides) under Coffea arabica (coffee). RNAcentral describes it as "long non-coding RNA (CARA_LNC002365)". The record is from RNAcentral. Lineage: Eukaryota; Viridiplantae; Streptophyta; Magnoliopsida; Gentianales; Rubiaceae.
AGAUAAAGGUUUUGUCACACAGGGCAGUGGGAUGCUUCAUGAGUCAUUGUGGUUGGAAUUCAACAAUUGAAGCAUUGAGCUUGGGUGUGCCAAUGGUGACCAUGCCAGUGUGGGUUGAUCAACCUACAAAUUCUAAGUAUAUUGUGGAUGUAUGGAAGGUAGGAUUGCGAGUUAAGGCGAGCGAGGAAAGGGAAAUGGUAACAAGAGAAGAAGUAGAAGGAACUAUAAGAGAAGUUAUGCAUGGGGAGAAGGCAAGUGAGCUUAGAAACAAUGCUUUGAGGUGGAAGGAGUUGGCUAAGGAGGCAAUUAGUGAAGGAGGAAGCUCAGACAAACACAUUGAAGAAUUUGUUUCGAGUCUUGAAAGCACUUAGUUAAAUUAAUAUCCAAUUUUCUUCACACAGUUUUCAAAUUUUAAUGAUCUGUUGUUAAUUUGAAAUUGCAAAUAACAGUCAACGUAUGCAUAGAUUAUCCUAAUUGACACUUCAAUUAGUAUUAACCUAUCGAUUGAAGUACUAAUGUAACUUUAAUUUAGAACUUCAAAUUCUUGGGACCUAAACCUUGAGUUGACACAUAAUUUACAAUCUCAGAAGCAAUAGUUGUAUGUGAGGCAAUUUUCUUAUUUCAAUAGUUAAGUGCAUGAGUUGGUGUGUGUGGAUCGAAAUUACUAUUUGAAUAGACAAGUCUCUAUAUUCAUAUGUUAUGUUAUUUUCUUAUUGAAUUUAGUUGAACUCGUGAAACAUAAGUCUUCAGAAGUAAUAACAAAACCAAGCUCCACUCCAGAAGCUUCGACCACAAUUGCUAAAACUCAAAACCUGCAGAAGGUGCUCAACCACCAACCAAGAAGCACCGUACCUAGAGACUGCUACCUUAGCUAUUUACCUACUUACAUUUUAGGACUACGACUUUAUUUAUCUAUCUAUGUGAAUAAUAUGAGGUUGAAUAGUAAAAUUAUGCAGCAUCAACCUUCAAUUUGAACUACAACUAUGUCUAUUAUCCCUUCACUAUGGUUGCAUAAGCUUUGAUAAUUCUCUCAACUGAUUAUCUACUAUAAUAGUAUGCAAUAUUUUAUAUACACAUGGUAUGACAUUUUUGGCUACCAUUAAUAGUAUGCCUUGCCCAAUUGUCCAACAUUACCAAAUUAUUUAACAACAUCACAGGUAUAAAUUGCCAUUCUUUGCAUGGGUCUUCUCCCUAGUAAUUAGAAUAAUAAAAACCAAGAUCACAAUAAUGUUUGUACUUACAUUCCAAAGUACCAAGACUCAUGGUACUUUUUAUAUAGUAAUGAUAAUGUUAAUGGUAAUACUAAUCUUCGUUUGUGACAUUAAGCAUUACAAAGUUGAUCAUGAUUAUAGUUAAUUGUAGGACUUUAAAAAUUAGAGUUUGGUCUGGGGGCUAAUCAGCCUAAUCAAUGAUUUUAGUUAGGCCAAUAGAUAAUGGAGAUGCAAGUCACUUUCCUGAGUAGGUUGAAAUGCGCCUAAUCAAAGAAUUUUCCAUGUGUACAAACUCAUAGUACGCGCCAAAAUAUAAAAAAAGUUAACAAGCUUGUCGGUUUUGUACAUGUAUUCGCAACAUACUGAAGCAUCUGACUUAAUUUGUCUAGAUUCCCGACUCUUGGCAUUGUUACUCGUGAAACAGCACUUUGGCCAAAACCAUGGUCACGUCAACGGGUGGAAAGUUCCCUUUUCUGCCCACAGUAGGCAGAAGCAAAUGCGGAGGCCAACUGUGUUCUCCGGGGUUGGCACCAGAGAGAGUCAGGUUGUGCGUGGAUAAAAUAAUGCAAUACAUUUUAAAAUUACAAUAAAAACUUUUUAAAAAUUUGUUCAUCAUCUAAUGCCAAAGCAAAUAUUGUGGUAGGUUUUCGUUUUUAAUUGAGUUUGAUAUUUAAAAUAAUUGAAUCAUAAAUAUAAAAGGAAGAGUUGGAAACUUAGACAUGAUUAAAAUAAAAGGAGAUGUGGAAUUUUGGUCUAGGGGUGAGCAAUUACGGUAAAUACCGAUUUACCGACCGAAAUCGAUUUCAAUUUGGUAAUUCGGUAAUUCGGUCGGUAAAUCGGGGAUAUAGUACUAGUUAAAAUCGAAUUAGGUUCGAAAACGGUUUUAUAGUUUUUGAAUUCGGAUAUACCGAAUUCGAAUUAAUUUCGGAAUUCGAGAAAGGUGGGAUUAAGGUGAAUGGGAAGAUGCAAUCGAGCAACACUUCAGUCUAUGCAGUUGGGGAUGUUGCCGCUUUUCCAGUAAAAAUGUUUGCUGAAACACGCAGACUUGAGCAUGUAGAUUCUGCGAGGAAGUCAGCAAGGCAUGCUGUUGCUGCUAUCAUGGAGCCAGAAAAGACGGGUGAAUUCGACUACCUGCCAUUCUUCUACUCCCGCGUCUUCACAUUGUCUUGGCAGUUUUAUGGAGACAACGCAGGGGAAGUAAUUCAUUUUGGGGAUUUCUCGGGAAAGACUUUUGGGGCUUAUUGGAUUAAUAAGGGUCAUCUUGUUGGUUCUUUUCUGGAGGGUGGAACCAAAGAGCAGUACGAAGCUAUAGCCAAGGCCACGAGGCUUAAACCGGCAAUUGAAGACCUGGGUGAGCUUGAGAGGCAGGGACUGGGAUUUGCUUUGACAGCAAGCCAGAAACCAUCAUCAUCAUCACCUCCUCUUGUUGCUGGCAGUUCUAAUCUCGUCAUCGAGAAACCAUUACACGCUUGGUACGCAACUGCGGGUGUGAUUGUGGCUGCAUCAGUAGCAACCUUUGCAUACUGGUAUGGCAGGAGGCGACGAAGCAAAACAGGCUGCGAUUGCUUCAGGAAUUCGGACAAUUCGGUCAAUUUGUGUUUACCGAAUUCAAUCCGAAUUGAAUUCGAAUUCGAAAUUUGGUAAUUCGAAUACGAAUUAGGUCGAAAUAUCUCAACACCAUUUACCGAAAAUUACCGAUUUCAACCUACCGAAUUACCGAAUUCGAAUUCGAUGCUCACCCCUAUUUUGGUCCCCCAAUAUUUGGUCUAUGAGUUAAACUAGUCCCUGAUAUUUCGACCAAAAUAAAUAUGGUCCCAAAAGUUUUGACAACUAAUAGAAAAUUAGAAUAUCUAAUGGUCAAAAUCAAAUUAGAAUUAGUCAAAAGUUUUGAUUUUGUAGUUUUUGGUCCCUAAUAUUUGAAAAUUUAUUCAAUAUGGUCCCUUAUGUUUUAGAUAAUUAUAUUUCAAAUGAAAUAAAAUGUGACUUAGAUUAAAUGCAUGAAAAAAUGUGUUCUCAAAUCUCAUAAAAACCCUUAAAUUACUUCACAUUGUGAAUAUACUAUCAUUUAGCCUAAAGAGCAUCUGUUCGUUAAAUUAAUUACAAACAAAUGACAACACAUGAAUCAUAUAUAAAAGAAAAAUUAGUGGAAAAAAGAGAAUUUUAAUUUGAGGAUAUAGUAACUUUAAUUCUAAACAAUAUAACUCAAAUUGUUACAUGACUUGUGGAUCUAAGUUUCAAUCAAUUAUGGUUAGGCAUUGUGAUUUCAUUAACAAGUAAAGGUGAUUACUAAUAUGAAUGACUCAUGUGAAUUGUAAAAAUAUUUCUUGCUGUUUCUUCUUGUCUUUCCUUCAUAUUAAAUCAAAUAUUUCAAUAACACAAUUCAAUGUAUUAUAUUUACAUUCAUCUGACAUUGAUAAUUUUAUUGAAUAAUUUAAACAAUUAUAAAAUCUUUAUUUCAAUUGAAACUUAAUUGACAACUAGUUGAAAUGCCAAAAAAAAAAAGAAAACGAAAAAUAUUAUUCAAUCAACUCAACACCUAUAGUUGUUGAUAUUAUAAUAGGAUAUGUAAUUAACUGUUUUCAUUUAUCAAAUAUAAGUAUUGGGCAUUAGAUGAUGAACAAAUUUUUGAGAGGGCGUUUGUUGUGAUUUCAAAAUGUAUUGCAUUAUUUCAUCCACGCACAACCAGCUUUCUCCUAUACCUGAUGCAUCUUUUUGCUGUCCGUCUUUGUGCAUCCCCACAGAACACACAGUUGGCCUCCUUGCAUUGCCUUUUCUCAAAAAUCAUUAAAAAUGUUUUUGGCCAGGCAUUAUAAUAUCGAUCCGAGAAAUUGAAGGCAAAGACACUUUUUGGAACUCCAACCUCAAUUUCUUUAUAAAACCCAAGCAGGAACAGAACAGGGAACACAUGGAUGAAAUUGGAUGUAGAAUUCAUGUUCUGGCCAUCCCAUCCCCACUCCAAGGCCACCUCAAUCCGAUGCUGCAAUUAUGCAAGCGUUUAACCUCGAAGGGUGUUAGAAUCACGCUAGUCACAAGCACCUCAGCACGUUUAUCGGUGCAAAAUCAGUUUGAAUCGAUCCAGAUCGAGUAUAUUCUAGACGAUGAUAACAUUGAAGCUGAGGGGUCAAAAUAUUCAGAGAAAACUACUGCCUUCUUGAAACGUUUUAAUACCGCAGUUUCAGACAAUUUGGCCAAGCUAGUCAAGGAAAAGGCGAGUUCUGGUCAUCCCGUGAAAACAGUUCUGUAUGAUUCAAUGAUGCCAUGGAUUUUGGAGAUAGUGCAGGGACAGCUAGGCCUUAAAGGGGCUGCGUUUUUCACUCAGGCUUGCGCUGUUUGCGCAAUAUUCAAUCAUAUUCAUCGAGGAACGUUGAAAGUUCCUCUAGAGACAUCUACCAUAUUGCUUCCUUCAAUGCCACAACUGGAGUCGGAUGAUCUGCCGUCUUUUGUUUAUAACCCUAGUCCAUACCCGGGUCAUUUGGAUGUUGUCCUCAGUCAGAAUAUAAACCUCGAGAAAUCAGAUUGGCUCUUGUUCAAUUCUUUUGACAAGCUAGAAAAUGAGGUAGAUUUCUCAUUCCAUAAAUAAUUGGAAUUUGGAAGUUCACCCAUUAGCAACAUUUUAUUUGACGCUGUUUAAAUUAAAUUACAUAUUGGCAAUACUUUUUGAAUCAUUGUUAGUGUCAGUUAAGUUCAUCCUUGGAAUUUGAUCAUUGGUAGACCAUAAGAUCUGUUUAUUUUGUUCAUAGCAAAAAUCACAUUGUACAAUUUCUAGUUAGUUAUUGCUAAUAAAAAAUAAAGUUAAUAAUUAAGAAACAAACGGCUUAUGUCAACUGUUUCGAAAAUCAGACCGGACCAAACCGGCUGUUUGAAUGGCUAAACUGCGAACCGAUAUUGGCACUGGUUAGGUUUUUUAUUAAACUAGAACAGGUAAGUGAACUGGUCAAUUCGGAUCAAGAAAUGGUUAAACCAGUCAAAACCAGAUGGUUGAACUAGUUUCCUCCUUUUUUUAAUUUUAUAUAUUUUGACGUUAUCCAAAUUACUUAGUACUAAAAUAAUUAAAAAAUAAUUAGAUGUUUAACCCAGGAUUGAUCAGGGUCCUCAUUCGGAUCACUCACAGAUCCGAGCUUAAAAGCAUAGCUCAUAUUAGGUAAGUCUACAUGUUAAUCUUUCAUACAUUUCAAUACAAUUGGCAUAGAUAAUCUUUUCAUAAAUUCAUGCUUCAAUUUUCUUAAUUGUCUUUUGGGGUCGGGACCUGAUUGAAUUUUGCUGUUUGGGAAAUAUUACAAUCUUUUUGCUUAAUCUCAACUAGGUAGUGACCUGGUUGACAGAACGGUAUCCAAUCAAGACCAUAGGCCCUUGUACUCCAUCCAUGUACACUGACAAGCGAUUGAAAGAUGACAAAGAUUACACCAUCAAUUUCUUCGCACCAGAUUCAGAAGCUUGCCUAAAAUGGCUUGACACCAAGGAAACAGGCUCAGUUGUUUAUGUAUCCUUCGGUAGUGUCUCAGACCUUGGAGAAAAUCAAAUGCAGGAAAUAGCAUGCGGCCUGAUGAAUAGCAACUGCAACUUCUUAUGGGUAGUUCGACCUUCUGAAGAGAGCAAAAUUCCUAGAGGUUUCAUGUCCGAGGCACAAGAAAGAGGUCUAAUCGUGAAUUGGUGCCCUCAAAUAAAGGUUUUGUCGCACAGGGCGGUGGGAUGCUUCAUGAGUCAUUGUGGUUGGAAUUCAACAAUUGAAGCAUUGAGCUUGGGUGUGCCAAUGGUGACCAUGCCAGUGUGGGUUGAUCAACCUACAAAUUCUAAGUAUAUUGUGGAUGUAUGGAAGGUAGGAUUGCGAGUUAAGGCGAGUGAGGAAAGGGAAAUGGUAACAAGAGAAGAAGUAGAAGGAACUAUAAGAGAAGUUAUGCAUGGGG